Molecule: ribosomal RNA, 697 nt
Filed under: uncultured bacterium
Lineage: Bacteria
Description: bacterial SSU rRNA
Rfam family: Bacterial small subunit ribosomal RNA
Source: RNAcentral
AAGGGGCCAGUAAUGGCACCGAGCGCACCUUUGGGGAACGCGUACACAACGUACCUCAGAGCGGGGGAUAGCAUUGGGAAACUGGUGGUAAUACCCCAUGGUGUUGUAGGAUGGCAUCAUUUUACAAUUAAAGGUUACACUCUGAGAUCGGUGUGCGUCUGAUUAGCUAGUUGGCGGGGUAACGGCCCACCAAGCCAGCGAUCAGUAGGGGGCGUGAGAGCGUGACCCUCCCACACGGGUACUGAGACACGGACCCGACUCCUACGGGAGGCAGCAGUAAGGAAUAUUGGUCAAUGGUGGAAACACUGAACCAGCUAUCCCGCGUGCAGGAUGAAGGCCCUCCGGGUUGUAAACUGCUUUUACCAGGGAAGAAACGCACAGUUUCGCACUGUGCCUGACGGUACCUGGGGAAUCAGCACCGGCUAACUCCGUGCCAGCAGCCGCGGUAAUACGGAGGGUGCAAGCGUUAUCCGGAAUCACUGGGUUUAAAGGGUGCGUAGGCGGUUUGAUAAGUCAGUGGUGAAAGCUUCCCGCUCAACGGGAGAAUUGCCAUUGAUACUGUCAGACUUGAAUCAAUACGAGGCACGGCGGAAUGUGACAUGGUAGCGGUGAAAUUGCUUAGAUAUGUCAUAGAACACCGAUUGCGAAGGCAGCCUGCUGGGCCUUGAUUGCACGCUGAGGCUCGUAAAGCGUGGGG